RNAcentral lists this ribosomal RNA (449 nucleotides) under uncultured bacterium. RNAcentral describes it as "partial 16S ribosomal RNA". It matches the Rfam family "Bacterial small subunit ribosomal RNA", at positions 354 to 796 of the family's 1533-position model. The record is from RNAcentral.
GUCGAGAAUCUUUCACAAUGGGGGCAACCCUGAUGGAGCGACGCCGCGUGGAGGAUAAGGUCUUCGGAUUGUAAACUCCUGUCAUGCGUGAACAAGGUUGCUUGGUUAAUACCUGGGCAAAUUGAUGGUAACGCAAGAGGAAGAGACGGCUAACUCUGUGCAAGCAGCCGCGGUAAUACAGAGGUCUCAAGCGUUGUUCGGAAUCACUGGGCGUAAAGGGUGCGUAGGUGGCGUGGUAAGUCAGAUGUGAAAGCCCGGGGCUCAACCUCGGAACUGCAUCCGAUACUGCCAUGCUAGAGUACUGGAUAGGUGACUAGAAUUCUCGGUGUAGCAGUGAAAUGCGUAGAUAUCGAGAGGAAUACCAAAGGCGUAGGCAGGUCACUGGACAGUUACUGACACUGAGGCACGAAGGCCAGGGGAGCGAACGGGAUUAGAUACCCUGGUAGUCC